Molecule: ribosomal RNA, 510 nt
Filed under: uncultured Glomus
Lineage: Eukaryota; Fungi; Glomeromycota; Glomeromycetes; Glomerales; Glomeraceae
Description: SSU rRNA
Rfam family: Eukaryotic small subunit ribosomal RNA
Source: RNAcentral
AGCAGCCGCGGUAAUUCCAGCUCCAAUAGCGUAUAUUAAGGUUGUUGCAGUUAAAAAGCUCGUAGUUGUACUUCGGGGUUUACUCAUUGGUCAGGCUUAAUUGUCUGUACUGGUUAGAUGAAUCUCUACCUUCUGAGGAACUUUCAUGCCAUUUGUUUGGUGUGAUUGGAAAUCAGGACUGUUACUUUGAAAAAAUUAGAGUGUUUAAAGCAGGCUAACGUCUGAAUACAUUAGCAUGGAAUAAUGAAAUAGGACGGAUUGAUUCUAUUUCGUUGGUUUCUAGGGUCACCGUAAUGAUUAAUAGGGAUAGUUGGGGGCAUUAGUAUUCAAUUGUCAGAGGUGAAAUUCUUGGACUUAUUGAAGACUAACUACUGCGAAAGCAUUUGCCAAGGAUGUUUUCAUUAAUCAAGAACGAAAGUUAGGGGAUCGAAGACGAUCAGAUACCGUCGUAGUCUUAACCAUAAACUAUGCCGACUAGGGAUCGGACGCAGUUAAUUUUAUAAUGACGUG